Molecule: ribosomal RNA, 540 nt
Filed under: uncultured marine eukaryote
Lineage: Eukaryota
Description: bacterial SSU rRNA
Rfam family: Eukaryotic small subunit ribosomal RNA
Source: RNAcentral
UGCAGUUAAAAAGCUCGUAGUUGGAUUUCUGUGUCGGAACACGCGGGGCGUGGCCAUAUCGGCUUAGCUUACGUGGGUUCUUACACAUCCUGCUCUUACCCGCGCUUGUCUUAAUUGACUGGCGAUGGCGAGGGGCUCGUUUACUCUGAGAAAAAUAGAGUGUUCAAAGCAGGCUUUGCGCCUUGAAUAACUUAGCAUGGAAUAAUGACAAAGGACCUUGGUUCUUUUUGUUGGUGUUCGGCACCGAGGUAAUGAUUGAUAGGGACAGUUGGGGGCGUCAGUAUUCCGAGGUCAGAGGUGAAAUUCAUAGAUUCUCGGAAGACUAGCAGAUGCGAAAGCGUUCGCCACGGAUGUACUCUUUGAUCAAGAACGAAAGUUGGGGGAUCGAAGACGAUCAGAUACCGUCGUAGUCUCAACUAUAAACUAUACCAGCUAGGGAUCGGGCAACGCCGUAAUCCAGAAGGCUUGCUCGGCACCUUAUGAGAAAUCAAAGCAUUUGGGUUCCGGGGGGAGUAUGGUCGCAAGGCUGAAAACUUAAAG